CUGGAGGUAUCAGAAGUGCGAAUGCUGACAUAAGUAACGAUAAAGCGGGUGAAAAGCCCGCUCGCCGGAAGACCAAGGGUUCCUGUCCAACGUUAAUCGGGGCAGGGUGAGUCGACCCCUAAGGCGAGGCCGAAAGGCGUAGUCGAUGGGAAACAGGUUAAUAUUCCUGUACUUGGUGUUACUGCGAAGGGGGGACGGAGAAGGCUAUGUUGGCCGGGCGACGGUUGUCCCGGUUUAAGCGUGUAGGCUGGUUUUCCAGGCAAAUCCGGAAAAUCAAGGCUGAGGCGUGAUGACGAGGCACUACGGUGCUGAAGCAACAAAUGCCCUGCUUCCAGGAAAAGCCUCUAAGCAUCAGGUAACAUCAAAUCGUACCCCAAACCGACACAGGUGGUCAGGUAGAGAAUACCAAGGCGCUUGAGAGAACUCGGGUGAAGGAACUAGGCAAAAUGGUGCCGUAACUUCGGGAGAAGGCACGCUGAUAUGUAGGUGAAGUCCCUCGCGGAUGGAGCUGAAAUCAGUCGAAGAUACCAGCUGGCUGCAACUGUUUAUUAAAAACACAGCACUGUGCAAACACGAAAGUGGACGUAUACGGUGUGACGCCUGCCCGGUGCCGGAAGGUUAAUUGAUGGGGUCAGCGCAAGCGAAGCUCUUGAUCGAAGCCCCGGUAAACGGCGGCCGUAACUAUAACGGUCCUAAGGUAGCGAAAUUCCUUGUCGGGUAAGUUCCGACCUGCACGAAUGGCGUAAUGAUGGCCAGGCUGUCUCCACCCGAGACUCAGUGAAAUUGAACUCGCUGUGAAGAUGCAGUGUACCCGCGGCAAGACGGAAAGACCCCGUGAACCUUUACUAUAGCUUGACACUGAACAUUGAGCCUUGAUGUGUAGGAUAGGUGGGAGGCUUUGAAGUGUGGACGCCAGUCUGCAUGGAGCCGACCUUGAAAUACCACCCUUUAAUGUUUGAUGUUCUAACGUGGACCCGUGAUCCGGGUUGCGGACAGUGUCUGGUGGGUAGUUUGACUGGGGCGGUCUCCUCCUAAAGAGUAACGGAGGAGCACGAAGGUUGGCUAAUCCUGGUCGGACAUCAGGAGGUUAGUGCAAUGGCAUAAGCCAGCUUGACUGCGAGCGUGACGGCGCGAGCAGGUGCGAAAGCAGGUCAUAGUGAUCCGGUGGUUCUGAAUGGAAGGGCCAUCGCUCAACGGAUAAAAGGUACUCCGGGGAUAACAGGCUGAUACCGCCCAAGAGUUCAUAUCGACGGCGGUGUUUGGCACCUCGAUGUCGGCUCAUCACAUCCUGGGGCUGAAGUAGGUCCCAAGGGUAUGGCUGUUCGCCAUUUAAAGUGGUACGCGAGCUGGGUUUAGAACGUCGUGAGACAGUUCGGUCCCUAUCUGCCGUGGGCGCUGGAGAACUGAGGGGGGCUGCUCCUAGUACGAGAGGACCGGAGUGGACGCAUCACUGGUGUUCGGGUUGUCAUGCCAAUGGCACUGCCCGGUAGCUAAAUGCGGAAGAGAUAAGUGCUGAAAGCAUCUAAGCACGAAACUUGCCCCGAGAUGAGUUCUCCCUGACCCUUUAAGGGUCCUGAAGGAACGUUGAAGACGACGACGUUGAUAGGCCGGGUGUGUAAGCGCAGCGAUGCGUUGAGCUAACCGGUACUAAUGAACCGUGAGGCUUAACCUUACAACGCCGAAGGUGUUU
RNAcentral lists this ribosomal RNA (1690 nucleotides) under Escherichia coli. RNAcentral describes it as "partial 23S ribosomal RNA". It matches the Rfam family "Bacterial large subunit ribosomal RNA", at positions 1273 to 2925 of the family's 2925-position model. Lineage: Bacteria; Pseudomonadati; Pseudomonadota; Gammaproteobacteria; Enterobacterales; Enterobacteriaceae. The record is from RNAcentral.